AGAGAGAGACAUGCGCGCAUAUCAAUAAGCGGAGGAAAAGAAACUAACAAGGAUUCCCUUAGUAACGGCGAGUGAAGCGGGAAGAGCUCAAAUUUGAAAUCUUCAAGGUUUUACCUUGACGAAUUGUAGUUUAAAGAAGUGUUUUCUGCUGAAGUUUUGGUAAAAGUUCUUUGGAAUAGGACAUCAUAGAGGGUGAGAAUCCCGUAUUUGACCAUUAUUUUCAGCUUUGUGAUACACCUUCAAAGAGUCGGAUUGUUUGGGAAUGCAGUCCAAAAUGGGUGGUAAAUUUCAUCUAAAGCUAAAUAUUGGCGAGAGACCGAUAGCGAACAAGUACCGUGAGGGAAAGAUGAAAAGAACUUUGAAAAGAGAGUUAAACAGUACGUGAAAUUGUCAAAAGGGAAGCGUUUGACACCAGUGUUGUUUUCUCGAAAAUCAAUUAAAAAUGGCUCGAUUUUGUAUUGCUUGAGACCUUAAAAGCUCACUGUACAUUUUUCGUGUCUUUUUUAAUGCACUUUUCGUUUAACAAGUCAACAUCAGUUUCUUUUGUUGUAAAAGGGUCAUUGGAAGGUGGCUUUCUUUUCGGAGAAAGUGUUUAUAGCCUUUGGCCUCUGUAAUCGGAGAGACUGAGGUCUGCAGCGUAGACUCUUCGGGGUUAGAUACAUUUGUGCUAAGUUAUAGCUUUUUAUAGACAACUUGUUGACUAUAAUUAGUCUUGUAGCUUACUCGCUUAUGCUAUUUUACCUACGCUUAGGAUGUUGAAGAUGUAGCACAUCAU
This 775-nucleotide ribosomal RNA is filed under the name uncultured Neocallimastigales. RNAcentral describes it as "partial large subunit ribosomal RNA". It matches the Rfam family "Eukaryotic large subunit ribosomal RNA", at positions 23 to 620 of the family's 3401-position model. The record is from RNAcentral. Lineage: Eukaryota; Fungi; Neocallimastigomycota; Neocallimastigomycetes; Neocallimastigales.